AGGUGAUGCGAUUGUUACAGUGGACCCCGAACGGGUCGAGUGCAGCGCCCAUAGGAGCGCCUCUCGCACAACACUGCAGGAGUCUUGCAGAUCAGGCGUCAACCCGUACGAGUGGGCGUGGCGGUGAUGAAGUGGAACCGUGUUCCCCAUCGGAACGGCGGGGAAGGUAGUCAUCGGCUUUCAGGCAUCCGGAUGCUCCAACUAGCACGUUGCAGCACUUGCCCAUGUUCGAUGAUAGCUUUGAUCUGAGAGCAGUUAUAGGCAAGGCCGCAAAGCUUCGCAGCACGCAAACUCUCAGAUAACACACACGGUGCAUGCAUGCUUCCUGUCACUCUGUUUCGACCGGCUUAUCUCCGAGGAUUUCGGAUGUACCAUCCUUUCCCAACCUUACAUCAAAGUGGUAGAUUUGGUGCCAUAACACUGUGGGUAGACUUGAUGCCAUAACACUCAAAAUUGCAGGUUCAAACAGAAGUGGGGAAAAAUGUUCCCCAUGCCCCGCCUGAUGACCGCUGAAGAUGUGGCUCUGCACAUUUGCGAGGUCAAGGUAGCAGGGUCAGCACCUGACUGACCUGAUCACUCCAAUAGCUUUGAAACUGAGACGAAUCGAGUUACAUAACGGAUCUUUAAGCAAGUUAAUAAUCAGAGGUGGUACCAGCACAAUAAUAGGCCAUUUCCUUAUGGUAUGCAUCGAGUGUCUCAUGACUCAAAUUACGAAAGAUGACUACGCCGUACUUCAUCGCCUCAGUUUCGGCGCGUGAGAUUGCCGCGGCCUUGCACACUGUACACCGACAACGAGGCAGUGGAAAGUAUGAUAAUUGCAAGGAUGGAACGUAUGAAUGGGUCCCUCUUAUCGCACCUCCUAUCAGGCAAAGCAGGAAAAGGAGGUUGUUGACCUUGAAGCUCGCGUCUUGUCGCCAAGAGGCAGCCUUGUUAGCC
Molecule: long non-coding RNA, 936 nt
Filed under: Volvox carteri
Lineage: Eukaryota; Viridiplantae; Chlorophyta; Chlorophyceae; Chlamydomonadales; Volvocaceae
Description: long non-coding RNA (VCAR_LNC003036)
Source: RNAcentral